This 579-nucleotide ribosomal RNA is filed under the name Triticum aestivum (bread wheat). Its description in RNAcentral is "partial small subunit ribosomal RNA". Lineage: Eukaryota; Viridiplantae; Streptophyta; Magnoliopsida; Poales; Poaceae. The record is from RNAcentral.
AUGGGUGCCGGCCUAUACAGUUACCUCGAUCAAACCAUCCAAGAACCUUCCAAAACAAUCACCACCAAGACCACCGAUUGCAAGGACCAGGUUGUUGUGAACCCUGACUAUGCCCCCUGGUUAAUCCAGGACCAACAGAUCGUAGCAUAUCUUCUCAGGAAUCUUUCCAAAGAGGUUCUCGUCCAGGUCGCGUCGCUUGAGCGAUCACAUGCGAUUUGGAGCGCCCUAGGGAACAUGUUCUCUGCUGUCUUCCUCUCUCGCGCCAACAACAUCCGAGCCGCUCUCACCAACGCACAGAAGGGGUCUCAAUCCGCCUCAGCAUACUUCGGCCACAUGCGCUCGCUCUCUGAUGAACUCGCGGUGGCGGGCAAACCCAUCGGAGAGCUAGAGCUCAUCUCCUUCAUCAUUGCGGGCCUCGACAUGGAAUAUCAGCCGAUCGUCUCUACGCUGGACGUCCGCACCGAGCCAAUCACCGUUGACAUCCUCUUCUCCAUGGUGGCGAACUUCGACCAGCGGGUCGAGAUGUUCCAUGGCAACGGCGGCGGCGCCUUCAAGUCGUCGGCAAACAUUGCUUCUCGC